RNAcentral lists this ribosomal RNA (548 nucleotides) under uncultured bacterium. Its description in RNAcentral is "bacterial SSU rRNA". It matches the Rfam family "Bacterial small subunit ribosomal RNA", at positions 108 to 689 of the family's 1533-position model. The record is from RNAcentral.
GAGUAACACGUGACUAACCUACCUCCGAGUGGGGAAUAACUCCGGGAAACCGGGGCUAAUACCGCAUAACAUCGCAAGAUCAAAGCAGCAAUGCGCUUGGAGAGGGGGUCGCGGCUGAUUAGCUCGUUGGCGGGGUAACGGCCCACCAAGGCGAAGAUCGGUAUCCGGCCUGAGAGGGCGCACGGACACACUGGAACUGAAACACGGUCCAGACUCCUACGGGAGGCAGCAGUGGGGAAUUUUGCGCAAUGGGGGAAACCCUGACGCAGCAACGCCGCGUGGAGGAUGAAGCCCUUUGGGGCGUAAACUCCUUUCGACUCGGACGAUAAUGACGGUACGAGUGGAAGAAGCACCGGCUAACUCUGUGCCAGCAGCCGCGGUAAUACAGAGGGUGCGAGCGUUGUUCGGAAUUAUUGGGCGUAAAGGGCGCGUAGGCGGUGCGGUAAGUCACCUGUGAAAUCUCCUGGCUUAACUGGGAGCCUGCAGGCGAAACUACCGUGCUGGAGUGUGGGAGAGGUGCGUGGAAUUCCCGGUGUAGCGGUGAAUGC